UGGAUGACAGUAAAUGUAUGAGGGUAGAGAGUAAUGUCUUCUUAUUUAUGGUGGGUAUGAGUAACAUUAAAUUGAAAUUUCAGACCUUUUACUAAUCCCUCCAUCCCAUAGUAUAAGACGUUUUUGCAAACUAAACAUAGCUUGCAAAAACGUCUUAUAUUGUGGGACGGAGGGAGUAGUAACCAGUAGCAAAAUUCAGGUUUUGGGGAGAAGAAAAGUGAACCUAAGGGCUCCAAUACUAUUAAUAGCACAAUACCAUGUUGCAUUCAGUGUUUCAGUCCUGGAGACAUUGCUGAACAGAUGAAGUUGGUGGAAAAUCUAUGGUCACCUAAAAAUUAAGCUGCUUGAAGAUCAAGUUCAGAAGUACUGUAGUCAGUUUUCAAGUUCGGUAGUAUUCAGUUUUGUAAUAGUGAUUUCUGAAUAUUUCAUGCUACUAGUUACUUAGUGCUAAGUGGCAUUCAGUUGUUUUCAAACAAAUUUUAUUUCUACUUGUAAUGAUGGUUUUUGUUACGUGGGGUAUUUCCCUGAACCACUACAUGGAAUCUAUUUAUUAGACCGAUUUGUUCUAUGGUUACCGAAAAUUCCUCGUGCAAGAGUUAAUUAAUGGCCUAUGUUUCUUAC
This 621-nucleotide long non-coding RNA is filed under the name Triticum aestivum (bread wheat). Its description in RNAcentral is "long non-coding RNA (TAES_LNC002814)". The record is from RNAcentral. Lineage: Eukaryota; Viridiplantae; Streptophyta; Magnoliopsida; Poales; Poaceae.